GUGUCAGCCGCCGCGGUAAUACAGAGGUCCCGAGCGUUGUUCGGAUUCACUGGGCGUAAAGGGUGCGUAGGUGGUGAGGUGUGUCGGAUGUGAAAUCUCCAAGCUCAACUUGGAAAAUGCAUUGGAAACUACCUUGCUGGAGGGUUGGAGGGGGGACUGGAAUGCUUGGUGUAGCAGUGAAAUGCGUAGAUAUCAAGCGGAACACCAGUGGCGAAGGCGAGUCCCUGGACAACUCCUGACACUGAGGCACGAAAGCUAGGGGAGCAAACAGGAUUAGAUACCCCGGUAGUCC
This 292-nucleotide ribosomal RNA is filed under the name uncultured bacterium. RNAcentral's name for it is "partial 16S ribosomal RNA". It matches the Rfam family "Bacterial small subunit ribosomal RNA", at positions 505 to 796 of the family's 1533-position model. The record is from RNAcentral.